This 88-nucleotide non-coding RNA is filed under the name Platyophrya macrostoma. The record is from RNAcentral. Lineage: Eukaryota; Ciliophora; Colpodea; Cyrtolophosidida; Platyophryidae.
CAUACACACACAAAAAAAAAAAAAGAAAAGAACAUCAACGAACACAAAACGGGGUUUCAUAUCUUAAAUUGCCGAAUUCUUUUCUUUU